Molecule: ribosomal RNA, 253 nt
Filed under: uncultured bacterium
Lineage: Bacteria
Description: partial 16S ribosomal RNA
Rfam family: Bacterial small subunit ribosomal RNA
Source: RNAcentral
UACGUAGGUGGCAAGCGUUGUCCGGAUUUACUGGGCGUAAAGAGCGCGCAGGCGGCCAAGUCAGUCGAAUGUGAAAGCCCCCGGCUCAACUGGGGAGGGUCAUUCGAUACUGCUCGGCUCGAGUCCGGGAGAGGUGAGUGGAAUUCCUAGUGUAGAGGUGAAAUUCGUAGAUAUUAGGAAGAACACCAGUGGCGAAGGCGGCUCACUGGCCCGGUACUGACGCUGAGGCGCGAAAGCGUGGGGAGCAAACAGG